Musa acuminata AAA Group (dessert banana) is the source of this 1117-nucleotide long non-coding RNA. RefSeq lists it as uncharacterized. The record is from RefSeq and is a predicted model, not a curated record. NCBI's taxonomy places the organism in Eukaryota, Viridiplantae, Streptophyta, Magnoliopsida, Zingiberales, Musaceae. The transcript has 3 exons.
AGCAAUCUUGGCCUGGCGCAGAGGCUUCCAUUUUCGAGGGACAGGUUGAUGGAGAACUAUUUCUGGACGGUUGGCUGGGCUUUUGAGCCACAGUUUGCAAGAUGCAGGGAGGCGCAGACAAAGGCAAACUGCCUGAUAACAACAGUUGAUGAUGUGUAUGAUGUUUACGGCACCAUGGAUGAGCUCGAGCUUUUCACGGAUGCCGUCGAUAGGUGAUGAAGAACUCCACCUCAUGAAUGCAAUAGAUGCAAUUUCAACGAUCGUUGAUUCCUGAUAACAUCUACUCUGAUGGAUGUUGCAGAUGGGACGUUAAUGCAACGGGCAAACUUCCAGAGUACAUGAAGAUGUGUUUUCUAGCCCUCUUCAACACUACAAUGACACCGCAUAUAAUGUUAUGAAAGAGAAGGGUCUGGACAUAAUUCCACACCUAAAAAAAGCAUGGGCAGAUGUAUGCAAGGCACACAUGGUGGAAGCAAGGUAGUACCACCAGGGCUACACACCCAAUCUUGAAGAGUACUUGGAGAACGCACUUGAAGGGCUACACACCCACUCUUGCUUAUUGCACCAGUGAGAUGUAAGUCAAGAGACCUUGGAAGACUUCCACAGCUGUCUUAAGAUUGCAAGAUGGUCAUCCAUGAUCCUUCGACUUUGUGAUGAUUUGGGACGAGCUUGAAAGAGGCGAUGUGUCCAAAUCUAUCCAGUUUUACAUCAAUGAGAGUGGUUUAUCGGAGUACGUGGCUCAUGACCAUAUCAAGCGAUUGAUUAGGGGGAAUUGGAGAGCAAUAAACGGAGAUCGAAGUUUCACUUCUCGUUUUGAGGAAAACAUAAAAAUGAUGAUCAUUAAUUUUCCUCGAAUGGCCCAAUGAGAUGGACAUGGAAAACCUGAUCAAGUGACUGAGGAUCACAUCAGGUCUUUGAUAAUUGAACCUAUAUACUUUUGUGACAAUUGAAUUAAGGAUGAUAUCAUGAAGUUAUAAGUCUCCUCGUCAUUCAUCCAAGCCUUUGAUUAAGAUUCUUUGGGUGUGAUCACUCUUUUGAUGGUGUAGUUCUAGGUUAUUGGUUGUGAUAAUUGAUUUGUAUCAGCGCUUUCGAACUAGAAAACUUUCUUCAUGAAAUA